GGGGAUGACCGGUUUUGACAGCGCGUAGAGGUGGUAUGUAAGCACGCAGAGCGAUGAUGGCUGUCUCUAUAAUACACGACAUCAACAAUUUAACUGGCGAAACUAAUUACGCUCUCGCUGCCUAACCGAAGUACAGUAAGUUAGCUUUAUUUCUGCCACAGUGGUAGAAACGAGACAUCACCCGAUUGCCCCUCUCUGAGACGUUUCGAUAAGGUGGUGCAAGGAAAAUCAGAGAUAAGACACGCUGCUCCCGGGUGCGUGGCUGAAAAUUUACGGGAUAAGCCACGGAUUGGUAGUUUUGAGCCUGUCCUUGGCCGACAAUCAAGUCGAAACUAAGCGUGUAGAAAGCAUAUUAGUUCCGCGUUUGGACGAGAGUUCGAAUCUCUCCAUCUCCAC
RNAcentral lists this transfer-messenger RNA (396 nucleotides) under pig gut metagenome. It matches the Rfam family "transfer-messenger RNA". Rfam says of the family: Bacterial tmRNA, also known as 10Sa RNA or SsrA, is named for its dual tRNA and mRNA-like properties. Its role is to liberate the mRNA from a stalled ribosome. The record is from RNAcentral.